Molecule: ribosomal RNA, 637 nt
Filed under: uncultured archaeon
Lineage: Archaea
Description: bacterial SSU rRNA
Rfam family: Archaeal small subunit ribosomal RNA
Source: RNAcentral
AUGCUUUGUAGUCGAAAGGUCCGCCGCCGUAGGAUGGGUCUGCGGCCGAUUAGGUUGUUGUUGGGGUAACGGCCCAACAAGCCUGUAAUCGGUACGGGUUGUGGGAGCAAGAGCCCGGAGAUGGAUUCUGAGACACGAAUCCAGGCCCUACGGGGCGCAGCAGGCGCGAAAACUUUACAAUGCGGGAAACCGUGAUAGGGGAACUCUGAGUGCCCGUUAAAUCGGGCUGUCCAUCAGUUUAAAUAACUGGUGAAGAAAGGGCCGGGCAAGACCGGUGCCAGCCGCCGCGGUAAUACCGGCGGCUCGAGUGGUGGCCACUAUUACUGGGCUUAAAGCGUUCGUAGCUGGUUUGUUAAGUCUCUGGGGAAAUCUUCCGGCUUAACCGGAAGGCGUCUCAGGGAUACUGGCAGACUAGGGACCGGGAGAGGUGAGGGGUACUCCAGGGGUAGGAGUGAAAUCCUGUAAUCCUUGGGGGACCACCUGUGGCGAAGGCGCCUCACCAGAACGGCUCCGACAGUGAGGGACGAAAGCUGGGGGAGCAAACCGGAUUAGAUACCCGGGUAGUCCCAGCUGUAAACGAUGCGCGUUAGGUGUAUCGAUGACCACGAGUCAUCGAGGUGCCGAAGAGAAAUCGUGA